GGCAGCGUAGCUCAGUGGUUAGAGCAAACGACUCAUAUUCGUUAGGUCGGAGGUUCAAAUCCUCUCGCUGCUACCA
This 76-nucleotide transfer RNA is filed under the name endosymbiont DhMRE of Dentiscutata heterogama. RNAcentral describes it as "tRNA-Met". It matches the Rfam family "tRNA". Rfam says of the family: Transfer RNA (tRNA) molecules are approximately 80 nucleotides in length. Their secondary structure includes four short double-helical elements and three loops (D, anti-codon, and T loops). Further hydrogen bonds mediate the characteristic L-shaped molecular structure. tRNAs have two regions of fundamental functional importance: the anti-codon, which is responsible for specific mRNA codon recognition, and the 3' end, to which the tRNAs corresponding amino acid is attached (by aminoacyl-tRNA synthetases). tRNAs cope with the degeneracy of the genetic code in two manners: having more than one tRNA (with a specific anti-codon) for a particular amino acid; and 'wobble' base-pairing, i.e. permitting non-standard base-pairing at the 3rd anti-codon position. The record is from RNAcentral. Lineage: Bacteria; Bacillati; Mycoplasmatota; Mollicutes; Mycoplasmatales.